This is a non-coding RNA of Odocoileus virginianus texanus, 504 nucleotides long. The record is from RefSeq and is a predicted model, not a curated record. Lineage: Eukaryota; Metazoa; Chordata; Mammalia; Artiodactyla; Cervidae.
CAUCAAUAAAAAUGUUAUAUAAACAACAACAACAAAAGAAGUAAAAGGUAACCCAACUAGAAAAUGGAUGAAGACUUUGACCAGGGGCAAGUCCGUGUGGCCGGAUCACACUUGUCCCUCAUGGCCUGAAACAGAUUUCAGAUGGAAACUCCUAGAAGCGAUUGCAGACUGGAGCCCUCACUUCAGAAGAGACAUUUUGUCAAUAGGCUCUAAACUUUCUGGGAAUUCAGAGCUGUCUGAUUUGUUGGUACUGAUUUCGACACAACGGAUUAUAUUUUAUCUAAACUUAUCAUAUACUAAGUGCUCCUGAUGUUCCUGAUAAAAAUGAAGAUGAACAAAACCUCAGAGGUUUAUUUUCCCCUCCUUCCUCUCUAACACAGAAAAAGAAAAACCUACAUUAGGCAUUAGAGGCUUAAAAUGAUUGUUAGAAAUUAUCAGUCACUUUGCUUUUAUAAGUCAUCCCUAGCAUGCCUUUCUAUGACUAUACUUCCUCCUCAUCUGUCA